GAGGGUAUAGCUCAAGUGGUAGAGUGCAUGCUUAGCAUGCAUGAGGUCCUGGGUUCAAUCCCAAUUGACCUCC
Molecule: transfer RNA, 73 nt
Filed under: Camelus bactrianus (Bactrian camel)
Lineage: Eukaryota; Metazoa; Chordata; Mammalia; Artiodactyla; Camelidae
Also listed under: 2 other names
Rfam family: tRNA
About the family: Transfer RNA (tRNA) molecules are approximately 80 nucleotides in length. Their secondary structure includes four short double-helical elements and three loops (D, anti-codon, and T loops).
Source: Rfam by way of RNAcentral